CCAUUACGCCAGCAUCCUAGCCGAAGCGCGGACCUCAGUCCCGGCUGGCCGUAUUACACCCUGGGCUAUAACACCUCCACCGAAGUGGAGGCCACAUUCCCAGAGCCUUUAUCCGGCCGCCGAAACUGAUGCUGGCCUGUCCAAACUGAGUAAACCGGUCAGAAGACCGGCCGAACAGUUUAAACAAGUCUGAUUGCAAGCGCUUCCCUUUCAACAAUUUCACGUGCUUUUUAACUCUCUUUCCAAAGUGCUUUUCAUCUUUCGAUCACUCUACUUGUGCGCUAUCGGUCUCUCGCCAAUAUUUAGCUUUAGAAGAAAUUUACCUCCCAUUUAGAGCUGCAUUCCCAAACAACUCGACUCGUCGAAGGAGAUUUACAUAGGGUGCCAUUUCCUGUCACAUACGGGAUUCUCACCCUCUAUGACGUCCUGUUCCAAGGAACUUAGACAGGCGGCUUCCCCAAAUCAUCCUCUACAAAUUACAAUGCGAACCCGAAGGCUAGCUUUCAAAUUUGAGCUGUUGCCGCUUCACUCGCCGUUACUAGG
This 543-nucleotide ribosomal RNA is filed under the name Aureobasidium proteae. Its description in RNAcentral is "partial 26S ribosomal RNA". Lineage: Eukaryota; Fungi; Ascomycota; Dothideomycetes; Dothideales; Saccotheciaceae. The record is from RNAcentral.